This 220-nucleotide long non-coding RNA is filed under the name Elaeis guineensis (African oil palm). Its description in RNAcentral is "long non-coding RNA (EGUI_LNC055286)". Lineage: Eukaryota; Viridiplantae; Streptophyta; Magnoliopsida; Arecales; Arecaceae. The record is from RNAcentral.
ACCUCACUCACAUCUUCCUUUGCACAAAAUCCAAAGAAAAAUUCUACCCCAAAAACUUACCCAAAAUUACAAUCUUCUACCAAUAGGAAGAGCGUUCAAUCUCCUCUAUCAAAAAGACCACCACCUCAUGUAAAUGUGCCUUUAGCAUCGUAAUCUCAUCGAUAGUUGUCUUGGACAUCUCCCAUCAAAAUCGGCGAACAUCUUAGAUCACUUGGGACCA